UUAGAGAACCGGGGGAGACCUAGAGAAGGAGAGGGUGACGGAAGAGUGACCGGAGGUGGUUUCUGUUGGAUGCAAUCCGUGCUGUCAACCAAGCAAAAGCAAGUACUUCUAAGGAUAAAGGAGUAGUAAUUGGUGGAGAUUGAAGGUGAUGGGAGUUGAAGAUCUUUUGUGUAUACAUUUUGCUUAAAAUGCUUCUUAUAUUUUACUAUUUCGGAGUGAGGAUAUAAUGUAUAUAUAUUUUGUUAUGUAAAUAUUCCUCCAUGAGGAGGUAACUAAAGGUAGAUAAACUAUAGUGACCGCCAUUGAUAAGAAUGGCCUAUAUGUUGAUAUAUAAUUAUUAUUAUGCCCAAAUUGUGUAUAUGAGUAUAUGUACUCUUUUGUAUGGGCCAGCGGGUUGGGUAUUGAAUGUUAAGCCCUGCCAAUUAUAUAUUUAAUUAGUUACAGGUUGAUUUGAACGUAAGUAAAAGGAAAAAAAAAAAAAUUCUUUUUCCGAGGAUGAAACCUAGCACUUAGUGGUUUAAGGUUGACGAAAAUAAUCCUACUAGUGGAGGUAAGGUGUUACAAUAUAUAUACACACUUAUGUAUGUAUGUAAAUUUCAUCGUUGGUGCUCCAUGUAGACUAUAAGAUGGAUCCAUGCCGUAUUUAUACUUUGUUGGUAGGGAGCGUAGCUCCAUUUUGAAGUCCAUUUUGGUUGCUCAGUACUGUUACAAAAUUUUCUGGAUGUCCCAUUUACAGAGAAAAUUUUGCCAAAAUUUCCACAAGUGGGUUGUGAUUUUGUGAAACGAAACAUCUCUCUAAGAACUUUAUUCAAGGCUUAAGGGAUGCGUGAUCUCCCCUGUAUCUACAAGCAGGUAUUUGUGUUUGCAAACAUGUAUGAGAACUCUAUAUAUUCAAGGCUUAAGGGAUGUAUGAUCUCUCAUAUUUUGAAGAGGAAGUUCCAGAAAAUCCUUAUGAGAGGCACUUAAGAUCAGAACUUAUCCCAGCAAAUAAAAGAGAUAGGAAAAACAAUGCUUGCAAAGGCAAAUUGCAACUAAUUAAAGCUGGAGAAAGUUUCAUCAAUAUUCCAACGUCUACCAUCCCAUCCAAGUGGUAUGAAGAAGCUGAGAAGAAUUAAUGCUCGAGCCCUAUUACUAUUGGACUUAACUGGAGGAAUCUUAGAUACCAUAGUAUUUAUCAUUUCUCUGUAAUGAAUAGUCAUUUCAUCCAUGUUCUGGCAAGUUUUGAUGCUGAAGAAUUAAUCAUGCAUGAGCUGAUGCGGCGGAAUGACUUGCAUGUAUGGGGAACGAAGUUAGAAGUGGAAAUAACAAUCGGUUAAAUAUAUUUCAGUUAACAUCCCUGUUU
Molecule: long non-coding RNA, 1342 nt
Organism: Neltuma alba
Lineage: Eukaryota; Viridiplantae; Streptophyta; Magnoliopsida; Fabales; Fabaceae
Exons: 3
Source: RefSeq, a predicted model, not a curated record